CACGUAGGCACCAAGCGUUGUCCGGAUUUAUUGGGCGUAAAGAGCUCGUAGGCGGUUCAGUAAGUCGGGUGUGAAAACUCUGGGCUCAACCCAGAGACGCCACCCGAUACUGCUGUGACUUGAGUACGGUAGGGGAGUGGGGAAUUCCUGGUGUAGCGGUGAAAUGCGCAGAUAUCAGGAGGAACACCGGUGGCGAAGGCGGGUCUCUGGGCCGAUACUGACGCUGAGGAGCGAAAGCGUGGGGAGCGAACAGG
RNAcentral lists this ribosomal RNA (254 nucleotides) under uncultured bacterium. RNAcentral's name for it is "partial 16S ribosomal RNA". It matches the Rfam family "Bacterial small subunit ribosomal RNA", at positions 524 to 776 of the family's 1533-position model. The record is from RNAcentral.